Molecule: long non-coding RNA, 601 nt
Organism: Priapulus caudatus
Lineage: Eukaryota; Metazoa; Priapulida; Priapulimorpha; Priapulimorphida; Priapulidae
Exons: 3
Source: RefSeq, a predicted model, not a curated record
CGAGAGGAAACAUGAGCGUCAAAGGAAAGGGAAUGCAGAUGACGUACUGGUUGGGUGGAAAGAAAAACUACGACAAACCUCUACCAAAGAUCACAGAGCCCAUAUAUAGACUGGCAGACACCGACAACGAAAACGGAAAUGGCAACGGGCACGGAAGCGCUGCGGAGGCAAAAGACAAAGAUGUCACUGAAACCAAUAAAGGAAUCAAAGUUAUAUAAGUUAUAACGGUAGGGCGUGCCUGCGUGUGUUCGUGUGUUCGUGCGCGCGUGUGUGUAGUAGUAGCUGUAGUACAUUGUCAUCACUGUAUAUUAGCUUGUUUCUACCUGCCAUUGUGAGAGGCGAAUCGUUUCAUAGAGAUUGAUAUCCGAUAAAAAAAAAAGGUAGUUAUAACACUACGUAAGCAAUUAAAGGCUUACUACCCCAAGUUUACCUGUGAUUUAUCAAGUGUAACUAAAUCAAAUGAUCCCUGAUAGUUGCAUUAUCUAUUCAACAUGUGUAUGGCAUCUCGUUGUGUUUAUAUCUAUCGUAUAGUGACAUAAUUUUGCGAGCGGACUAGUGUAUUAUUACCAGCAAAAACAAAUUUCUUCGGUGUUCGUCAUAG